RNAcentral lists this long non-coding RNA (271 nucleotides) under Nicotiana benthamiana. RNAcentral's name for it is "long non-coding RNA (NBEN_LNC028838)". Lineage: Eukaryota; Viridiplantae; Streptophyta; Magnoliopsida; Solanales; Solanaceae. The record is from RNAcentral.
UUAUGUCCUCAUUAAACUGCCAGAAAAUAAAACGUUUCUGCAAUUUAUGGCCAGAUAAUCGAUUAUCUGAGCCUGAUAAUCGAUUAUCUGGGCCUUCGGGAAUCUCAAAAUUUGCUGAAAAACUAGGAUAAUCGAUUAUCCUUUUUGGAUAAUCGAUUAUCUUGGCUCUCUGGAAUUUCCAAUUUUGCUGAAAAAUUCCAGAUAAUCCAUUAUUUUAAAAAUAAUCGAUUAUCCUCAGGUUCUGUUUCAAAAAAUUUUUGAUGAACAAAAC